AUUUAAAUAGCUUAUAUUUAGAGUAUAAUAUUGAAGAUAUUAGGGAAGUUUGUUAAAUUUUUAAAUA
This 67-nucleotide transfer RNA is filed under the name Azana sp. WQY005. RNAcentral's name for it is "tRNA-Phe". Lineage: Eukaryota; Metazoa; Arthropoda; Insecta; Diptera; Mycetophilidae. The record is from RNAcentral.